CCAGUGCUCUGAAUGUCA
RNAcentral lists this small nuclear RNA (18 nucleotides) under Arabidopsis thaliana (thale cress). Its description in RNAcentral is "snRNA_06272". The record is from RNAcentral. Lineage: Eukaryota; Viridiplantae; Streptophyta; Magnoliopsida; Brassicales; Brassicaceae.